This 253-nucleotide ribosomal RNA is filed under the name uncultured bacterium. Its description in RNAcentral is "partial 16S ribosomal RNA". It matches the Rfam family "Bacterial small subunit ribosomal RNA", at positions 524 to 776 of the family's 1533-position model. The record is from RNAcentral.
UACGAAGGGGGCUAGCGUUGCUCGGAAUCACUGGGCGUAAAGCGCACGUAGGCGGAUCUUUAAGUCAGGGGUGAAAUCCCAGAGCUCAACUCUGGAACUGCCUUUGAUACUGGGUACCUAGAGUAUGGAAGAGGUGAGUGGAAUUCCGAGUGUAGAGGUGAAAUUCGUAGAUAUUCGGAGGAACACCAGUGGCGAAGGCGGCUCACUGGUCCAUUACUGACGCUGAGGUGCGAAAGCGUGGGGAGCGAACAGG